GAUGAACGCUAGCUACAGGCUUAACACAUGCAAGUCGAGGGGCAGCGGGAUUGAAGCUUGCUUCAAUUCGCCGGCGACCGGCGCACGGGUGAGUAGCGCGUAUCCAACCUUCCGUACACUCAGGGAUAGCCUUUCGAAAGAAAGAUUAAUACCCGAUGGCAUAGUUCUUCCGCAUGGUAGAACUAUUAAAGAAUUUCGGUCAUCGAUGGGGAUGCGUUCCAUUAGGUUGUUGGCGGGUAACGGCCCACCAAGCCUUCGAUGGAUAGGGGUUCUGAGAGGAAGGUCCCCCACAUUGGAACUGAGACACGGUCCAAACUCCUACGGGAGGCAGCAGUGAGGAAUAUUGGUCAAUGGACGAGAGUCUGAACCAGCCAAGUAGCGUGAAGGAUGACUGCCCUAUGGGUUGUAAACUUCUUUUAUACGGGAAUAAAGUGAGCCACGUGUGGCUUUUUGUAUGUACCGUAUGAAUAAGGAUCGGCUAACUCCGUG
RNAcentral lists this ribosomal RNA (489 nucleotides) under uncultured bacterium. Its description in RNAcentral is "bacterial SSU rRNA". It matches the Rfam family "Bacterial small subunit ribosomal RNA", at positions 28 to 507 of the family's 1533-position model. The record is from RNAcentral.